RNAcentral lists this microRNA precursor (115 nucleotides) under Sphingomonas yantingensis. RNAcentral's name for it is "microRNA MIR1846". Lineage: Bacteria; Pseudomonadati; Pseudomonadota; Alphaproteobacteria; Sphingomonadales; Sphingomonadaceae. The record is from RNAcentral.
AUAAGCCCGUACCCCGGCGAAGGCCGGGGUCCAGUUGCGGAACGUGUGCGGUUCUACCGUCAGCCAUUGAACGGUACCCGACUGGACCCCGGUCUUCGCCGGGGUACGGCGUCGC